UACGUAGGUGGCAAGCGUUGUCCGGAAUUAUUGGGCGUAAAGCGCGCGCAGGCGGUUCCUUAAGUCUGAUGUGAAAGCCCACGGCUCAACCGUGGAGGGUCAUUGGAAACUGGGGAACUUGAGUGCAGAAGAGGAGAGCGGAAUUCCACGUGUAGCGGUGAAAUGCGUAGAGAUGUGGAGGAACACCAGUGGCGAAGGCGGCUCUCUGGUCUGUAACUGACGCUGAGGCGCGAAAGCGUGGGGAGCAAACAGG
RNAcentral lists this ribosomal RNA (253 nucleotides) under uncultured bacterium. RNAcentral describes it as "partial 16S ribosomal RNA". It matches the Rfam family "Bacterial small subunit ribosomal RNA", at positions 524 to 776 of the family's 1533-position model. The record is from RNAcentral.